GGGGGCGAUCUGGUAUCGACCGGGUGACGGAAGUGCCUGGUGGCGUGUCGUGGUUGAUCAGUUGGCCACGUAAAAAGCUGAUCACACAUUAACUGCUGAACCGCAGUACUCCCUCGCGGCCUAAGUGCCAUGAGCCGUCUUCGCUUCUUCGCCUGAGAGGAGCGGAUUCGGACGCAAGUCAGGCUCGCUUGGACUCGAGGAUCGGGGCAACCCAAUCCGUUUCGGCGGCCGUCCAGGCUAAGAGAAUCUGGCCGAUAGUUGUCCCGGCGUCCUGCCCGUAGGAAACCGGUUUAACGAACGUGCGGCGGCCCCGUAAGGGGCGUGGCGCAGAAAUUUACGGGCUACACACGUAGAUGCCGGCGCGGAAGCGCCUCGGGACCGGGGUUCGAUUCCCCGCGCCUCCACUG
This 407-nucleotide transfer-messenger RNA is filed under the name Gemmataceae bacterium. It matches the Rfam family "transfer-messenger RNA". From Rfam's summary of the family: Bacterial tmRNA, also known as 10Sa RNA or SsrA, is named for its dual tRNA and mRNA-like properties. Its role is to liberate the mRNA from a stalled ribosome. Lineage: Bacteria; Pseudomonadati; Planctomycetota; Planctomycetia; Gemmatales; Gemmataceae. The record is from RNAcentral.